RNAcentral lists this ribosomal RNA (760 nucleotides) under uncultured Inocybe. RNAcentral describes it as "partial 28S ribosomal RNA". It matches the Rfam family "Eukaryotic large subunit ribosomal RNA", at positions 216 to 962 of the family's 3401-position model. Lineage: Eukaryota; Fungi; Basidiomycota; Agaricomycetes; Agaricales; Cortinariaceae. The record is from RNAcentral.
GAAUCCCGUCUUUGACACGGACUGCCUGUACAUUAUGGUGUGCUCUCGAAGAGUCGAGUUGUUUGGGGAUGCAGCUCAAAAUGGGUGGUAAAUGCCAUCUAAAGCUAAAUAUUGGCGAGAGACCGAUAGCGAACAAGUACCGUGAGGGAAAGAUGAAAAGAACUUUGGAAAGAGAGUUAAACAGUACGUGAAAUUGCUGAAAGGGAAACGCUUGAAGUCAGUCACGUUGGCUAGGAAUCAGCCUUGCUCUUGCAUGGUGUACUUUUCUGGUUGACGGGUCAGCAUCAAUUUUGACCAUUGGAAAAAGUCUUUGGGAAUGUGGCAUCUUAGGAUGUGUUAUAGCCCAAUGUCGCAUGCAGUGGUUGGGAUUGAGGAACUCAGCACGCCGCAAGGCCGGGUUUCGACCACGUUCGUGCUUAGGAUGCUGGCAUAAUGGCUUUAAUCGACCCGUCUUGAAACACGGACCAAGGAGUCUAACAUGCCUGCGAGUGUUUGGGUGGAAAACCCAUGCGCGAAAUGAAAGUGAAAGUUGAGAUCCCCUUCAAACAGGGAGCAUUGACGCCCGGACCAGAGCUUUCGUGAUGGAUCCGCGGUAGAGCAUGUAUGUUGGGACCCGAAAGAUGGUGAACUAUGCCUGAAUAGGGUGAAGCCAGAGGAAACUCUGGUGGAGGCUCGUAGCGAUUCUGACGUGCAAAUCGAUCGUCAAAUUUGGGUAUAGGGGCGAAAGACUAAUCGAACCAUCUAGUAGCUGGUUCCUGCC